Molecule: small nuclear RNA, 71 nt
Filed under: Cervus elaphus hippelaphus
Lineage: Eukaryota; Metazoa; Chordata; Mammalia; Artiodactyla; Cervidae
Source: RNAcentral
CGAUACAGAGAAGACUAGCAUGGCCCCUGCACAAGAAUGACAUGCAAAUUCAUGAGGCAUUCCAUAUUUUU